GAGUUUGAUCUUGGCUCAGGGUGAACGCUGGCGGCGUGCUUAAGACAUGCAAGUCGAACGGUCCCUUCGGGGAUAGUGGCGCACGGGUGAGUAACGCGUAACUGACCUACCCCAAAGUCGCGGAUAACGAUUCGAAAGAAUCGCUAAUACGUGAUGUGCUGUCAGAUUGUGUUCUGCCAGUAAAGAUUUAUUGCUUUGGGAUGGGGUUGCGUUCCAUCAGCUAGUUGGUGGGGUAAAGGCCUACCAAGGCGACGACGGAUAGCCGGCCUGAGAGGGUGGCCGGCCACAGGGGCACUGAGACACGGGUCCCACUCCUACGGGAGGCAGCAGUUAGGAAUCUUCCACAAUGGGCGAAAGCCUGAUGGAGCGACGCCGCGUGAGGGACGAAGGUCUUCGGAUUGUAAACCUCUGAAUCAGGGACGAAAGACGCGUAAGCGGGAUGACGGUACCUGAGUAAUAGCACCGGCUAAC
This 471-nucleotide ribosomal RNA is filed under the name uncultured Deinococci bacterium. RNAcentral describes it as "bacterial SSU rRNA". It matches the Rfam family "Bacterial small subunit ribosomal RNA", at positions 9 to 501 of the family's 1533-position model. Lineage: Bacteria; Thermotogati; Deinococcota; Deinococci. The record is from RNAcentral.